AAAAAUAAAAAAAAUACACACACUUUCUUCUUCUUCUUCUUCCUUCUUCUUCUUUCAAUAGAAAAAAAAUGUCAUCUUCAUCUUCUUUAUCUUACAAAAUAAAAAAAUCAUCAAAAUCUAAUACUAAUAUUGAUGAUUUAUCUUUAGUUAAAGCAGCAACAAUGGCUAAUUGGUAUGAAGAAUUUGAAGUACUUUCAAGAAAUUAUAAAAAGUCACAACAAACAUCAUCAAAAUACAAGAUAUUAUAAGAUGAUGAUGAAUAUGUGUGUUACAAGUUCAUAUGAUGACGUGGCGGUGGCACAGUCGCUGAAAAAGUCGCCGGCGCCGGUGGUGAAGUUUGACUCUUGCCGGCCAUGGAGAAAGGGUUCAUAAUGAUCAAACGCGAAUUCAGAAUUUUAAUUUGAUGAAUACGGUUUAUAACGUUCUUAUUAUUGAAUUUAUUGUAUUUUAAGAAUUGUGUAUUCAUGAUGUUAGUUGAGAUUUUAGUAUGUUUGUACAUAUUAUGUUUCAUGUUGAAAUAUCAAGUUCAGAUAAAUUCGUUGUAUUUUUAGAAUUAUGUAUUCUUGAUGUUUUUUUUUUGAGAUUUUAGUACAUGUAUAUUGUGUUUCACGUUGAAAAUAUUGAGUUCAGAUGAAUUCGUUGUA
Molecule: long non-coding RNA, 644 nt
Organism: Capsicum annuum
Lineage: Eukaryota; Viridiplantae; Streptophyta; Magnoliopsida; Solanales; Solanaceae
Exons: 2
Source: RefSeq, a predicted model, not a curated record